Long non-coding RNA from Asterias rubens (European starfish), 641 nucleotides. RefSeq lists it as uncharacterized. The record is from RefSeq and is a predicted model, not a curated record. The transcript has 4 exons. Lineage: Eukaryota; Metazoa; Echinodermata; Asteroidea; Forcipulatida; Asteriidae.
CUGUAAACAUUGAAAACGGAAAGACCUGCCGUUUCGAUCAAUUUUUCCCCCAGACGUUUUUGUACUUUUGGCGGACAGUUUCGUGGCUAGAGUUAAUGGCAAAGCUAAUACCACUGACAGGGAUAAUCUUGGUAGUCUGCCCGCACAGUCAAGAUGGCUUAACUUAUACAAUACAGACAGUUGGGAGAUGAGGUCUGAGACAGGGAGAGGAUGCGAUGAGAUACAUGUGUAUGGUCAUGUCAGGCUUCAGGAUCUCCAGUGACACCUUCUUCAGCAAGUAGAUGUCCAAGACCAGCCAUACAGGAAAUUCACUCCCUGUAAAAGCAUCUUCAGCCAAGCUCAAGUCAAGACUUUCACAGCACCAAACAAGCACCAACUCCAAUGCUUCGCUGAUCACGAAGAACGUGGACACUUCCUGCCAAAAUAUGGAUCCCUCAAGCAGCAUCACCACCAUUAUUCAAGGUUUCUCCUGAAGUCCUGCGGAGUACACUGUUCUACAAACCCAGACCAAACCAGCUCUUUUCAGAGCCCUCAAAAGAGGGCAGAACUUGUUGCUGUUUAGAGCAACAUUUGACAAGUACACAAGGCUGUAGCCUUGUUGCUUUUUAGGGCAAAAUUUGUUGCUUUUAAGAGCAACAUUU